ACCUGGGUGGCUCAGUCGGUUAAGCAUCUGACUUCAGCUCAGGUCAUGACCUUACGGUUCGUGGGUUCGAGCCCCACAUCAAGCU
RNAcentral lists this transfer RNA (85 nucleotides) under Felis catus (domestic cat). It matches the Rfam family "tRNA". From Rfam's summary of the family: Transfer RNA (tRNA) molecules are approximately 80 nucleotides in length. Lineage: Eukaryota; Metazoa; Chordata; Mammalia; Carnivora; Felidae. RNAcentral also lists the same sequence under 1 other name. The record is from Rfam by way of RNAcentral.